This 440-nucleotide ribosomal RNA is filed under the name uncultured bacterium. RNAcentral describes it as "partial 16S ribosomal RNA". It matches the Rfam family "Bacterial small subunit ribosomal RNA", at positions 338 to 795 of the family's 1533-position model. The record is from RNAcentral.
CCUACGGGUGGCAGCAGUGGGGAAUAUUGCACAAUGGGGGAAACCCUGAUGCAGCGACGCCGCGUGAGUGAAGAAGUAUUUCGGUAUGUAAAGCUCUAUCAGCAGGGAAGAAAAUGACGGUACCUGACUAAGAAGCCCCGGCUAACUACGUGCCAGCAGCCGCGGUAAUACGUAGGGGGCAAGCGUUAUCCGGAUUUACUGGGUGUAAAGGGAGCGUAGACGGCGCGUCAAGUCCGGAGUGAAAGCCCAGGGCUUAACCAUGGUAUGGCUGUGGAAACUGGGGAGCUUGAGUGCGGGAGAGGCAGGCGGAAGUCCUGGUGUAGCGGUGAAAUGCGUAGAGAUUAGGAGGAACACCGGUGGCGAAGGCGGCCUGCUGGACCGUAACUGACGUUGAGGCGCGAAAGCGUGGGGAGCAAACAGGAUUAGAUACCCCUGUAGUC